CGAAAGCCUGACGGAGCAAUACCGCGUGAGGGAUGACGGCCUAUGGGUUGUAAACCUCUUUUUUCAGGGAGGAAUAAAAUGACGUGUACCUGAAGAAUAAGCAUCGGCUAACUCCGUGCCAGCAGCCGCGGUAAGACGGAGGAUGCAAGUGUUAUCCGGAAUCACUGGGCGUAAAGCGUCUGUAGGUGGUUUAAUAAGUCAACUGUUAAAUCUUGAGGCUCAACUCCAAAAUCGCAGUCGAAACUAUUAGACUAGAGUAUAGUAGAGGUAAAGGGAAUUUCCAGUGGAGCGGUGAAAUGCGUAGAUAUUGGAAAGAACACCGAUGGCGAAGGCGCUCUACUGGGCCACAACUGACACUGAGGGACGAAAGCUAGGGGAGCG
This 381-nucleotide ribosomal RNA is filed under the name uncultured cyanobacterium. RNAcentral describes it as "bacterial SSU rRNA". It matches the Rfam family "Bacterial small subunit ribosomal RNA", at positions 376 to 770 of the family's 1533-position model. The record is from RNAcentral. Lineage: Bacteria; Bacillati; Cyanobacteriota.